RNAcentral lists this transfer RNA (72 nucleotides) under Brevibacterium sp. SMBL_HHYL_HB1. Its description in RNAcentral is "tRNA-Asn". It matches the Rfam family "tRNA". Rfam says of the family: Transfer RNA (tRNA) molecules are approximately 80 nucleotides in length. Their secondary structure includes four short double-helical elements and three loops (D, anti-codon, and T loops). Further hydrogen bonds mediate the characteristic L-shaped molecular structure. tRNAs have two regions of fundamental functional importance: the anti-codon, which is responsible for specific mRNA codon recognition, and the 3' end, to which the tRNAs corresponding amino acid is attached (by aminoacyl-tRNA synthetases). tRNAs cope with the degeneracy of the genetic code in two manners: having more than one tRNA (with a specific anti-codon) for a particular amino acid; and 'wobble' base-pairing, i.e. permitting non-standard base-pairing at the 3rd anti-codon position. The record is from RNAcentral. Lineage: Bacteria; Bacillati; Actinomycetota; Actinomycetes; Micrococcales; Brevibacteriaceae.
ACCGCUCUAGCUCAACGGCAGAGCAUCCGCCUGUUAAGCGGACGGUUCUAGGUUCAAAUCCUGGGAGCGGUG